CGUCGAGCGGCGGACGGGUGAGUAAUGCCUAGGAAAUUGCCCUGAUGUGGGGGAUAACCAUUGGAAACGAUGGCUAAUACCGCAUGAUGCCUACGGGCCAAAGAGGGGGACCUUCGGGCCUCUCGCGUCAGGAUAUGCCUAGGUGGGAUUAGCUAGUUGGUGAGGUAAGGGCUCACCAAGGCGACGAUCCCUAGCUGGUCUGAGAGGAUGAUCAGCCACACUGGAACUGAGACACGGUCCAGACUCCUACGGGAGGCAGCAGUGGGGAAUAUUGCACAAUGGGCGCAAGCCUGAUGCAGCCAUGCCGCGUGUAUGAAGAAGGCCUUCGGGUUGUAAAGUACUUUCAGUCGUGAGGAAGGCGGUGUCGUUAAUAGCGGCAUUGUUUGACGUUAGCGACAGAAGAAGCACCGGCUAACUCCGUGCCAGCAGCCGCGGUAAUACGGAGGGUGCGAGCGUUAAUCGGAAUUACUGGGCGUAAAGCGCAUGCAGGUGGUUUGUUAAGUCAGAUGUGAAAGCCCGGGGCUCAACCUCGGAAUAGCAUUUGAAACUGGCAGACUAGAGUACUGUAGAGGGGGGUAGAAUUUCAGGUGUAGCGGUGAAAUGCGUAGAGAUCUGAAGGAAUACCGGUGGCGAAGGCGGCCCCCUGGACAGAUACUGACACUCAGAUGCGAAAGCGUGGGGAGCAAACAGGAUUAGAUACCCUGGUAGUCCACGCCGUAAACGAUGUCUACUUGGAGGUUGUGGCCUUGAGCCGUGGCUUUCGGAGCUAACGCGUUAAGUAGACCGCCUGGGGAGUACGGUCGCAAGAUUAAAACUCAAAUGAAUUGACGGGGGCCCGCACAAGCGGUGGAGCAUGUGGUUUAAUUCGAUGCAACGCGAAGAACCUUACCUACUCUUGACAUCCAGAGAACUUUCCAGAGAUGGAUUGGUGCCUUCGGGAACUCUGAGACAGGUGCUGCAUGGCUGUCGUCAGCUCGUGUUGUGAAAUGUUGGGUUAAGUCCC
This 1003-nucleotide ribosomal RNA is filed under the name Vibrio sp. RNAcentral's name for it is "bacterial SSU rRNA". It matches the Rfam family "Bacterial small subunit ribosomal RNA", at positions 89 to 1088 of the family's 1533-position model. Lineage: Bacteria; Pseudomonadati; Pseudomonadota; Gammaproteobacteria; Vibrionales; Vibrionaceae. The record is from RNAcentral.